GCUGGUGCAAAAGGAACGCGCGUUUGCAGGAGGAGGAGGAGUAAAGCGGUGAUUGUGUAAUUAAAUAAUAAAACAAUCCUUAAGUCUGA
Molecule: long non-coding RNA, 89 nt
Filed under: Mus musculus (house mouse)
Lineage: Eukaryota; Metazoa; Chordata; Mammalia; Rodentia; Muridae
Also listed under: 1 other name
Description: predicted gene, 57123
Source: RNAcentral